GUCCAGCUAGCUCAGUCAGUAGAGCAUGAGACUCUUAAUCUCAGGAUAGUGGGUUCAAGCCCCACAUUGGGCA
Molecule: transfer RNA, 73 nt
Filed under: Neotoma lepida (desert woodrat)
Lineage: Eukaryota; Metazoa; Chordata; Mammalia; Rodentia; Cricetidae
Rfam family: tRNA
About the family: Transfer RNA (tRNA) molecules are approximately 80 nucleotides in length. Their secondary structure includes four short double-helical elements and three loops (D, anti-codon, and T loops).
Source: Rfam by way of RNAcentral